RNAcentral lists this ribosomal RNA (468 nucleotides) under uncultured bacterium. RNAcentral's name for it is "partial 16S ribosomal RNA". It matches the Rfam family "Bacterial small subunit ribosomal RNA", at positions 28 to 507 of the family's 1533-position model. The record is from RNAcentral.
GACGAACGCUGGCGGCGUGCUUAACACAUGCAAGUCGAACGGAAAGGCCCUGCUUUUUUGGGGUGCUCGAGUGGCGAACGGGUGAGUAACACGUGAGUAACCUGCCCUUGACUUUGGGAUAACUUCAGGAAACUGGGGCUAAUACCGGAUAGGAGCUCCUGCUCCAUGGUGGGGGUUGGAAAGUUUCGGCGGGUGGGGAUGGACUGGCGGGUUAUCGGCUUGUUGGUGGGGUAGUGGCUUACCAAGGCUUUGACGGGUAGCCGGCCUGAGAGGGUGACCGGGCACAUUGGGACUGCGAGACGCAGCAGUGUCGAAUGGUAGGCAGCAGGGGGGAAUAUUGCACAAUGGGCGGACGCCUGAUGCAGAAACGCCGCGGGCGGGAUGACGGCUUGUGGGGUGAAAACAGCUUUCGCCUGUGACGAAGCGGGAGUGACGGUAAUGGGUAAAGAAGCACCGGCUAACUACGUG